GAUGAACGCUGGCGGCGUGCCUAAUACAUGCAAGUCGAGCGAACAGACGAGGAGCUUGCUCCUCUGACGUUAGCGGCGGACGGGUGAGUAACACGUGGAUAACCUACCUAUAAGACUGGGAUAACUUCGGGAAACCGGAGCUAAUACCGGAUAAUAUAUUGAACCGCAUGGUUCAAUAGUGAAAGACGGUUUUGCUGUCACUUAUAGAUGGAUCCGCGCCGCAUUAGCUAGUUGGUAAGGUAACGGCUUACCAAGGCAACGACGCGUAGCCGACCUGAGAGGGGGAUGGGCCACACUGGAACUGAGACACGGUCCAGACUCCUACGGGAGGCAGAAGUAGGGAAGCUUCCGCAAUGGGCGAAAGCCUGACGGAGCAACGCCGCGUGAGUGAUGAAGGUCUUCGGAUCGUAAAACGCUGUUAUUAGGGAAGAACAAAUGUGUAAGUAACUAUGCACGUCUUGACGGUACCUAAUCAGAAAACCACGGCUAACUACGU
Molecule: ribosomal RNA, 496 nt
Filed under: uncultured bacterium
Lineage: Bacteria
Description: partial 16S ribosomal RNA
Rfam family: Bacterial small subunit ribosomal RNA
Source: RNAcentral